This 300-nucleotide unclassified non-coding RNA is filed under the name uncultured Pleosporales. RNAcentral describes it as "sequence contains 5.8S rRNA gene, ITS2". The stretch from base 1 to 89 matches the Rfam family "5.8S ribosomal RNA", at positions 64 to 154 of the family's 154-position model. Lineage: Eukaryota; Fungi; Ascomycota; Dothideomycetes; Pleosporales. The record is from RNAcentral.
GGUGUGUAUAAGAGACAGGUGAAUCAUCGAAUCUUUGAACGCACAUUGCGCCCCUUGGUAUUCCAUGGGGCAUGCCUGUUCGAGCGUCAUUUGUACUCUCAAGCCUUGCUUGGUGUUGGGUGCUUGUCUUUGCUUUGCGUAGACUCUCCCUAAAUACAUUGGCAGCCGAUAUAUUGGUUUGAAGCGCAGCACAAUUGCUAUUCAGGCUUGUUGUAUCAGCAUCCACAAAGAAUGAUAACACUUUUGACCUCGGAUCAGGUAGGGAUACCCGCUGAACUUAAGCAUAUCAAUAAGCGGAGG